This 400-nucleotide ribosomal RNA is filed under the name uncultured rumen protozoa. RNAcentral describes it as "bacterial SSU rRNA". It matches the Rfam family "Eukaryotic small subunit ribosomal RNA", at positions 1303 to 1710 of the family's 1831-position model. The record is from RNAcentral.
GGUGUGUCUGUCUGCAUUUCUGUGCUGUCUGGUUAUUUCCGAUAACGAACGAGGCCCUUAACAUGCUAAUUAGUCGUCCCCCAAUUUAUGGGAUAAUGACUUCAUAGAGGGGACUAUGCAUAAUCAAGUGCAUGGAAGUUUGAAAGAGAGAGCGAGAGAUGAAAUGGCCUUUAUAUGUCCUGGGCUGCACGCGUGCUACACUGAUGCAUACAACAAGUGCCUAGCUAGACAUAGUAUGGCAAUCUGGAAUAUGCAUCGUGAUGGGGAUAGAUCUUUGCAAUUAUAGAUCCUGCCCGAGGAAAUCCUAGUAUGUUCAAGUCAUCAUCUUGCAUUGAUUAUGUUCUUGCCCUUUUACACCCCCCGUCGCUCCUACCGAUCCCGGGUGAUCCGGUGAACCUUG